Molecule: ribosomal RNA, 367 nt
Filed under: Actinomycetota bacterium
Lineage: Bacteria; Bacillati; Actinomycetota
Description: Actinobacteria bacterium partial 23S ribosomal RNA
Rfam family: Bacterial large subunit ribosomal RNA
Source: RNAcentral
AGCAGGUCCCAAGGGUUGGGCUGUUCGCCCAUUAAAGCGGUACGCGAGCUGGGUUCAGAACGUCGUGAGACAGUUCGGUCCCUAUCCUCCGCAGCCGAAGGUGUAUUGAGGAAGGCUGUCCCUAGUACGAGAGGACCGGGACGGACGGAGCUCUGGUGUGUCAGUUGUCCUGCCAAGGGCAUUGCUGAUUAGCCACCUCCGGAAGGGAUAACUGCUGAAAGCAUCUAAGUAGGAAACCCGUUCCAAGAUGAGUACACCCAUGCGGUUAACGCAGUAAGGCCCGUGACGAGACCAUCACGUUGAUAGGCCGGAGGUGUAAGCGUGGUAACACGUGUAGCCGACCGGUACUAAUCGGCCGAGGGCUUAA